GCCCCGGUAAACGGCGGCCGUAACUAUAACGGUCCUAAGGUAGCGAAAUUCCUUGUCGGGUAAGUUCCGACCUGCACGAAUGGCGUAAUGAUGGCCAGGCUGUCUCCACCCGAGACUCAGUGAAAUUGAACUCGCUGUGAAGAUGCAGUGUACCCGCGGCAAGACGGAAAGACCCCGUGAACCUUUACUAUAGCUUGACACUGAACAUUGAGCCUUGAUGUGUAGGAUAGGUGGGAGGCUUUGAAGUGUGGACGCCAGUCUGCAUGGAGCCGACCUUGAAAUACCACCCUUUAAUGUUUGAUGUUCUAACGUUGGCCCGUAAUCCGGGUUGCGGACAGUGUCUGGUGGGUAGUUUGACUGGGGCGGUCUCCUCCUAAAGAGUAACGGAGGAGCACGAAGGUUGGCUAAUCCUGGUCGGACAUCAGGAGGUUAGUGCAAUGGCAUAAGCCAGCUUGACUGCGAGCGUGACGGCGCGAGCAGGUGCGAAAGCAGGUCAUAGUGAUCCGGUGGUUCUGAAUGGAAGGGCCAUCGCUCAACGGAUAAAAGGUACUCCGGGGAUAACAGGCUGAUACCGCCCAAGAGUUCAUAUCGACGGCGGUGUUUGGCACCUCGAUGUCGGCUCAUCACAUCCUGGGGCUGAAGUAGGUCCCAAGGGUAUGGCUGUUCGCCAUUUAAAGUGGUACGCGAGCUGGGUUUAGAACGUCGUGAGACAGUUCGGUCCCUAUCUGCCGUGGGCGCUGGAGAACUGAGGGGGGCUGCUCCUAGUACGAGAGGACCGGAGUGGACGCAUCACUGGUGUUCGGGUUGUCAUGCCAAUGGCACUGCCCGGUAGCUAAAUGCGGAAGAGAUAAGUGCUGAAAGCAUCUAAGCACGAAACUUGCCCCGAGAUGAGUUCUCCCUGACUCCUUGAGGGUCCUGAAGGAACGUUGAAGACGACGACGUUGAU
This 946-nucleotide ribosomal RNA is filed under the name Escherichia coli. RNAcentral describes it as "partial 23S ribosomal RNA". It matches the Rfam family "Bacterial large subunit ribosomal RNA", at positions 1917 to 2857 of the family's 2925-position model. The record is from RNAcentral. Lineage: Bacteria; Pseudomonadati; Pseudomonadota; Gammaproteobacteria; Enterobacterales; Enterobacteriaceae.